AAAAUAUUUUUUUUUUUGCGAGUUGUGAAUCCACAACAGUGACAUGUUGCUCUGUUUGAAGAGCAUAGUGGGAAAUUAAAACAUUUUAGAUAUUAAAAACAAUAUCUUUACAUAAAGUGUAUCUCAUUUCAGAAGAAAGAAAAAUAUAUUUCUAAAAUAGUAAUGGGCAGAUAAUAUUGUUAUGAGGUAUUUUUGAUAAUAAUGAACCGAAAUCAAAACGUAUGGCAUAUUAAAAUUCUGUAAUAAGCCAAAACAUUCCCACCAUCAGCAAGGUCAUAAUCCACACAAAGGGUUAUGCGGCAUUCUUCGAUGCACACAGCUCGACCUGAAAUUAUUACUAGCACUGAGCGACGCCCAUGAAUAACACCGUCUUAAGUAGGUUAAAACACAAAAGAAAAAACAUUUCUUUAAAAGAAUGACCAGGGAUACUACGAUUUUAAAGAUAUUAGUAGCCUAAACAAUGCAAAUCAUUUAAGUUGAAGGGCCCCAAUUGUUACGUUCACUACAAAACAUAUUACAUUCGAGUAGGCUAACUUAAAACGGUAUAGUAGGGGAAAAAAGUAGGGAAAAAAAGAAAUAACCUAUAGUGUCAAAAACAGAAACAGUAAAGCAUUUAUUUUUCAUGAUUGUAAUAAUUUUAGUUUUAAUGUCAAUGGAAUACUGAGUUGGGUUUCUCAAAAUAGAUUAGGCAACUAUUUUCCAAAAACAAUUAAAAAUACUGUUAGCAGAACGAUUUAGACUACUUUUUACAGUGACAUCCAUCAAGAAUUUGUACCAUUGCCAGAAAUUGUUAAGGCCUGAUUAUUCUGGUAAUCAGGCACGGUGGAGAAAGUAUAUGCAAUAACAAAAUGUCUAUACCCUAUCUCAGCAGAGAGAGGAUCAUUCGGAUCAAAUUAAACAUUUUCGGGGUUAUAAUAAAAAAGAUGUUUGGUAUAGCUUUGGUUAAACUUCAGUGACCUGUGUUGGCUUUGUCAGUUUAUUAGCAUAAUGCCAUUCACCGCAACGGGAGGUCUCUUAGGGACCUGCUUAGGGCAACAAGCAUUAAUUUUCCGGGUUCAAGACAUUGUAUGUGUGUGUCCGUGUGUAACAGAGAGAGAGAAACGCUCAGUUUCUGUUUCUGCAUACAAAUUGAGUUUCACUCGGUUAACUUAAUGAAUGCAACCAUAACCAAAUAUAUAUAUUUGGUUACGUUCGGUUGUGGAUACGCACAAUUGAACUACGUUCGAUUGUGGAUAAGCAAUGCAAAUGUCGUUUGGCCAACUAUCAGUGCUAUUCUCAAAAGGCGGGUUUCCAAACUUUGCUCUGAACGCUGCUGAGAGAAGGAAAUACUGUAGCAGGGCAGGCCAGAAACACAUACAGACACAGACAAGAGCCAGAACUAUAAGAAAGACAGAAUGCAGAAUGGAUCAUUUAGGGUAGAGGGAGACAUUAUCCAGACAACGCGCACCCACUGAGGGCCCACAGGUCCACAAAAGCUGAACCGACCUGUGUUAAGAACAACA
Molecule: long non-coding RNA, 1502 nt
Organism: Esox lucius (northern pike)
Lineage: Eukaryota; Metazoa; Chordata; Actinopteri; Esociformes; Esocidae
Source: Ensembl